GCACCCGUGGUGGAAUGGCAGACACGGUGGAUUUAGGUUCCACUGCUUCGGCGUGGGGGUUCGAGUCCCUCCGGGUGCACCA
This 82-nucleotide transfer RNA is filed under the name Kiritimatiellia bacterium. Its description in RNAcentral is "Kiritimatiellae bacterium (gut metagenome) tRNA-Leu". It matches the Rfam family "tRNA". Rfam says of the family: Transfer RNA (tRNA) molecules are approximately 80 nucleotides in length. Their secondary structure includes four short double-helical elements and three loops (D, anti-codon, and T loops). Further hydrogen bonds mediate the characteristic L-shaped molecular structure. tRNAs have two regions of fundamental functional importance: the anti-codon, which is responsible for specific mRNA codon recognition, and the 3' end, to which the tRNAs corresponding amino acid is attached (by aminoacyl-tRNA synthetases). tRNAs cope with the degeneracy of the genetic code in two manners: having more than one tRNA (with a specific anti-codon) for a particular amino acid; and 'wobble' base-pairing, i.e. permitting non-standard base-pairing at the 3rd anti-codon position. Lineage: Bacteria; Pseudomonadati; Kiritimatiellota; Kiritimatiellia. The record is from RNAcentral.